UUCGCAAUGCCCGAAAGGGUGACGAAGCGACGCCGCGUGUGGGAAGAAGGCCUUCGGGUUGUAAACCACUGUCAGGAGUUAAGAAAUGCAAGGAUAUUAAUAGUGUCUUUGUUUGACUAAGGCUCCGGAGGAAGCCACGGCUAACUCUGUGCCAGCAGCCGCGGUAAUACAGAGGCGGCAAGCGUUGUUCGGAAUUAUUGGGCGUAAAGAGCACGUAGGCGGCUAUGUAAGUCGGUUGUGAAAGCCUUCCGCUCAACGGAAGAACAGCAUCCGAUACUACAUGGCUUGAGUGCGGGAGGGGAGAGUGGAACUUCUGGUGGAGCGGUGAAAUGCGUAGAUAUCAGAAGGAACGCCGGCGGCGAAAGCGGCUCUCUGGCCCAUAACUGACGCUGAGUGUGCGAAAGCUAGGGGAGCAAACGGGAUUAGAUACCCCGGUAGUCCUAGCCGUAAACGAUGGGCACUAAGUAGAGGGGUUUU
RNAcentral lists this ribosomal RNA (477 nucleotides) under uncultured bacterium. RNAcentral describes it as "bacterial SSU rRNA". It matches the Rfam family "Bacterial small subunit ribosomal RNA", at positions 365 to 832 of the family's 1533-position model. The record is from RNAcentral.